UUUUUUUUUUUUUUUGUUGAUACGAAACUAAAAACAUUACAAAGACAAAUCUUUCGGACAACCCGAGUUAACAGUAUCAAAUAGCAGCGCUCUAGCAACAACUGUUGAGUAUCCAUCUUGCCACUCACGACCAUUCGGGAGUUGGUGGCCUUCAUUUGCAAAUGCAUCCGCCACAAAGUUUGCCUCUCUGUAUACAUAGUUAAAGCAAACUGAGAAGAAAAAGGUAGCAAUAGUCCGAAUAUCUUGGACAAUCUUCUGCAAUCUCUAAGGAGGGGAUAAUUUCCCAUUUGUUUGUUACUUUGGUUAAUGAAAAAAAGAGAGUAGAGUAUCUAUUUUGUGAUAUCACUGUUUCAUUGAUCAAUAAUAUCCUUUAGCAUUCCAAAGUUUAGUUGUAACCCUAUUUAAGUGAAUCAACUUCAUGGAACGGAUUCUACAUACCAAGUAGGUGCAGUUGCACAAUUAAUGUGUAAGUGCUUAAUUAAAUCGCCGUGUAAGGAAAUCAAAUAAAGACUAGUGACCCUAAAUUUAUUAUUUCAAUUUCAUUUUUGACCCUUAUUUCUUUCUUUCAACAUUUUCUUCGACCUAGUAUUCUCACCUCUUUAGUUGGAAACACUUGAGAUUAUUUGUUUAGAGUUUUAAUAUUGUAAACGAUAUUAGUAUAUAUGCAUAUAGUAGAACGUAAAUAACCGGAUCAAAAUACUGUAUAUUUUCGCAACGUCAUAGCUAAAUGUUUAUACUAUAACUUCAUGCAACAAACUGUUCUUGGAGAACAGUGGAGAAGGGUGUCAUAGAGAAUUCCUUACGAAACGUAAGACCUUGAAAUUAGGGUUUAAGGGUUGCGAGUCACGAGGGACCACGUGGUCGUCUCCGGUGGCUCGGGGUCUGCAUGCAUUCUGGGGUUUGUGGCUCCUCCUUUUAACGUAUAUUAUAUUUUUGUAAUUAAUUUAGGGGAAAAAAUGGGGGAUCAAUCAAAAUCCAUGUAGUUAAUUUGGAAGUAUACGACUAAAAAUACGAUGCUGCAUCAUACAGUAGUGAGAGCUAGAUAACCAAAUUAAGAGGUUUAACGCAUAAGUUAGUAGGUCUCACGUGAUCGUGUUGUUUAUGUGUUUCUGCCUCGAUCAAUUUAUUUUGAUUUCCAAAGCCGAGCUUUGUUUAAUAGAGCUAGCUUUGUCUUGUAACAAUUGGCAUGGAAUGGAGGAGGAAGUAGAGGAGUAGGAAGUUGGUGCAAUAGGAGUCGAUCAACGUGAGCAACUUGGUAAAGGUGGCAUGGAAUGGAAACAUAGGUGAGUGAGUAUUCUAGUUUGCCCCAACGUGCAAGUCCCUCUCCUUAUAGUGUUUGAAAAUUCUUGACACUAUUAGUGAACUGUUGUUUACUAAUAUUAGAUAUAUCGCAAUAUCUAAUAUAUCUAGUCUUUCAUGUAUUGUUUAGUUCGCGAAAAAAUAAGCAACAACAAAGAUAAAUUGUUCAUUUCCUGCGUAGGGAUGCAAAAGAAAAUGAAAUACUUUACUAAAUGAAGAGAAAAUAGAAGGAACGAUUCAUUUCAAAAUUCAAAAGACCAACUUUUUCCUAUUUAUUAUUCACACAAUAUUAUUUUAAUUAUUUGUUAUAAUUAACAACUUUUUAGAUAUUUUUCUUAUAUUACCAAACACCGGUACCGGAAACAUAGGUUUUUUAAGAAAUUUUAUUUCCAUUCUCGCUUUUUCAUUUCUCGCGGGAAAGAAAACCAAACUGGACCUUGUUGUUAUUAACCAAUUCAAACGAGACCUUAUGUUGAUGUAAUAAGAUUGGCAUUAGAGUUUGAAGAUCGAUGAAAACCGAUCCAUAAAACCUAAACAAUGGAUGAGACCUUAAUUACAGUACCUUACGUAGCAUAACUACCGGCCGAAAGUAAAUUCAGAAUUUACAUAACCUGAAAAAAAUAACAAAUAACUAUCUGGCUAAGACUUACUUUUAGUAAUUAAUCAACACAAGAGGAUUUAAUUCCAUUACGAACGUGAUUCAGGCGCAAGUAUACAAUAUAGCCAAACGUGUAUCUGGUAAUUGCCAACGAAUAAAUAUAUGCAGAAUCUGCAAUGAACUAUCAUAUAUAAACCCUCGAUGUUUAGCUCAGUUGAGAUUAUACACAAUACAAAAGGUACAUCGAUCGUACCAUUCAUAUAAACAUGUACGUCCGUAAACAUAAUUCCAAUCAAGAUGCUCUCACAGUUUUUGUAUCACUCUAUUAAUUCUUAAUCACAAACUUUGAGAGAGUUCCAUAUUACGAUCACCAACAUAUAUAUUUGAAAUUGUUAGAGAGAGCCAAAUUGUGGUUUUCAAAUUUGCAUGCCAGCUACCAAAGAAGUAGCAAUAAUAAUAAUAUUGUAUAUGUAUUGCAUGUUUCUUGGGUCAAUGGUAAUAGUUUAACUCCUACGAACUGUCUAAUUCCAAGUGUACCGAGUUGGCAAAACAAAUAAAAACCCUAAUUUUCUUUUAGCCACUGGAAUGAUGUGCAUGCCCCCCUCGACUAUGUUUAGCAUAAAACAAAAACAGCAUGACAUAUAUGAUUCCCGAUUUAUACCCUUUUAAAAACGAGCAAAUGAACUGAAAAAUAAUUUUAAAAAAAAUUUCUAAUUUGAAACUGUGAAAGGAGAUCUGAUGAUUCCAAGCCCUACUCAAACGAUAAUUAAAUCAUGAUUCUAUAUAACCUUGAUUAUUAGGGUUUAUUUAGACCCAAGUUCUAACUUCCAGCUUCAUCACUUAAUAUGAUUAGAUUAUGAUCAAGGAUGGAUCACAGGUAACAUACAUGAUAUACAAACAUCAUGUAGGUUUUGUUUUGGCCAGUAAAUUAACGGGGGGAUUUGUCCAAAAAGAAGAAGAUCGAUGAAAGUAUAUGAUGGGGUACGUGGGGCAUGAAAUAUUUAGGUAAAUUUUCAUACAUAUAAAGCAAAUGGAUUAUUCUUAGAUUUCUCAUUCAAUUUAUGUUCUAUGCCAGUUAUUUGGUUUUGUCUUAUAUCAUGCAUGAUUGGUGGAGAAGUUUAUUAUGAUGGGCUCCAAAGUUGUACAAAAGUUUCAUAGGUUUUGAUUGACCCUUUCGAGAGGAAACGGAAACUGGAAAGUAGUGAUAAUGGAAUUCCAAUCUGAGAAAAUCAGUGAAAGUCUGUAGGGAUGCAGACAAUACCAAAAUAAUGGUACUUUGGUUCGAAGAAUAUAUAUCAAUGACAAUGCAUCCUGGUUUCGGUACCAUGCAUUGGAAAGUGAAAGCUGCUAGCUAGCUCUUCUUCAUCAUUGCAAUCUAUUGCUGCCCCUUGAUGAUCUCAGACAUGAGAAUCCAAGUUAUAUUUUCUGUAGCAAGGUGAUGAAAGACUAUCUGCUACUGAGAAAAAGUCAGAAAUUAUACGAAGACGUACCAUCUGGUUUUUUGUUGCCUCAUGUAUAUAGGCUAAUCACGGAGGACUGGUAUAAGAUCAAUUUGGCAUGUAGAUUAAUUUAGGCCGGUCUGUACCAAGUCUACGCAAAUAGUCUAAACAUAGUUCACUGAGAAAUUUGUCAAUUAAGAGGAAAUGCGGAAAUGUGUGAAAGUAUAGAAAUUGAUUAAAACACACUGAAAUAUACCACACACAAAGUUUUUCAAUUGUUUGAUGCAAAAUCUCAAUGAGAGAAAAAACACUAAACACGAUUAUUCCUUUAAUCUUCAAACAAAGUUUACAAGCAGUAAUUCUCACACAACUACAAAGACAUGUAUAUGUUUACAAUUCUCACUUCUCACACAAGUGAUUCAAAUCCAUGUAUCUCUACAAAGAGAAACUGAAUCAAGGACAUUAAGACUAACAACACACUCAGUUCUCUAGUUCUUACACACAACUAGGUUCUGGAACAAAACCUAAGACUUAAUCACUCUUUGGUUUCUACCUACCGAUUCUCACACAAUCAAUAUCCUUUGGUUCUUCUACACAACCAAUUAGCUGAGAUCUGCAACACAAUCAGCUAUCUUCCUCCACCAGAUCUCAUCUUCUGCAAUCUCAAAUGCAACCUAAAUGUAAGUAAGAAAGAGAAACUCAGUCUAUAGAAAAACACACACAAGCCAUUUGUAUAUUGAUCAUGAACAAUAUCAAUUCAGAAUAUCAAAGUCUCUAUUCAAUCACAAAAAAGCUUAAUUUUUACAAAACACAGCAAAAGCAAUUUAUAGAGUGUAUGACACUCCCCCUCAACUUAUGCAUUUCAAUGAGAAGAUCAAUUUUCGUUUCUAAAAAGAUGCAAUCAGUCAACCAUCAUUUUGCACUUUCCAAAACUCAUAAACCAGUUCCAUGCUAUAACACAACAAUUAGAUAUUCCACAAUUCAAUUUCUUAAUCACCAGAGAACAAUGAUUAUGCACACGUACGUACAUGGAUGAUCAUAUAUGUUUUAACAUCUCAAGAUUUAUGCAGAUAAACAUUUUAGUGCACAUGAUAUGGAAAUCAGAUAUCCUAUAAUAGCUCAAGAUUAUGCACAUAAACAUCUUAAUGUACCUGAUAAGGAAUUUUCCAAAUACAAGACUUUUCACCAAAUUUCCUCGAUCAAAUUUAUAAACUCAAAAGAGAGAUCAACUUACCAUAUUUCAGAUGUUUGAAUCUCAUUACCUUGUGAAUCACAUUUAUCUCUCAAAAUACCUCUCAUCAUGCUGCUUUCUUGAUCUCUGAUUUUUCCAUUCUUCCUUUCCUAGUUUCAUUAGGAAUUCUAGUGUUGAAUAGGAAUUGCCAAUAUACCAACAAUGUGGAAAUCUGGUACCAUGCAUGUAGAUUAAUUGUACGGUUGAGAUGUGGAAAUGCGGCCUGAAAGUGAGCGAAAAUAAAGAGGUCCACACUUUAAUUUCAAAGCGGGACACCGCUCUGAAAGAAAACUAUAUAUUUAUAUAGGAAAAAAUUCAGUUUACUACCCUGAACUUUAGGUCUAAAAUCAGUUUGAUACCUCAUCUUUUUUUAAUCAGUUUCAUACCUAAACUUUCAAAAUGACAUUAAUCUCGACCAAAAUGACUAAAAUANNNNNNNNNNNNNNNNNNNNNNNNNNNNNNNNNNNNNNNNNNNNNNNNNNNNNNNNNNNNNNNNNNNNNNNNNNNNNNNNNNNNNNNNNNNNNNNNNNNNNNNNNNNNNNNNNNNNNNNNNNNNNNNNNNNNNNNNNNNNNNNNNNNNNNNNNNNNNNNNNNNNNNNNNNNNNNNNNNNNNNNNNNNNNNNNNNNNNNNNNNNNNNNNNNNNNNNNNNNNNNNNNNNNNNNNNNNNNNNNNNNNNNNNNNNNNNNNNNNNNNNNNNNNNNNNNNNNNNNNNNNNNNNNNNNNNNNNNNNNNNNNNNNNNNNNNNNNNNNNNNNNNNNNNNNNNNNNNNNNNNNNNNNNNNNNNNNNNNNNNNNNNNNNNNNNNNNNUAGUAUAUAUAUAUAUAUAUAUAUAUAUAUAUUUUCCUUUUAGAGCGGUGUCCCACUUUGAAAUUAAAGUGUGGACCUCCUUGUUUCACUCACUUUCAAGCCGCAUUCAUUUUCAGAUACGAACACCCUUAUUUAUUCACAAGGUACAGAUUUUCUUUAUUUGACCCACUUUUCGAUCUUAUUUUCUCAUCUUAACCGUUCAUAUUGUAGGUAUAUAUGAGUAGAUAAUCUCUACAAAUUUUCAGCUAAUUUAAAGAUCGUUAAUGUAUCGAAAAUGAAUUAAAUCAAUUAACGAAUUGAAACUGUUCAACCUGAACUGUUCGUGUUUUUAGUUCUAAAUCACAUCAAUCUUUGAAUGCCUUAACGAUUAUCAAUUUGGCUGAAAAUUUGUAGAGAUGAUCUACUCAUAUAUACCUAUAAUGUAAACAGUUAAGAUGAGAAACUAUGAUCUAAAAGUGAGUCAAUUAAGAAAAUCCGUACCUUUUGAAUAAAUAAGGAUAUUUGGACCUGAUAAGAAUUGUGUGUAUAUAUAUACAAGGCAUUUCCACUAAAGGAUCCCUUUUUUGACAUAUAUGAGGAAUGGGGGAUUACACCAACUUUUCGAUCACAAAAUCACAUCUCCACCGUUUAAUAUGUAGUUCCAUAUGAGUAGAUCACUUAUGCAAAUUUUCACAAAUUUUGGUGAUCGAUAAGGCAUUUAAAACUACAAUUUAUAAUUAUAAGCAUGAACGGUUCAAGUUUGGCAGAUUUGGUUCGUUCAUUGAUUUAAUCUUGUUCGACACCUUAACAAUUACCAAAUUGGCUGAAAAUUUGCAUAAUUGAUCUAUAUAUAGGGACCAACAAACUGAACGGUGAAGGUUCAAAAAUAUAAUCGAAAAGUGGGUAUAAUCCCCCAUCCAUCAUAUAUGUCAAAAAAAAGGAUUUCAUUAGUGGAAGGGCCUUGUGUGUAUGUAUAUAUAUAUCGUUGUAAGCAUGACAUCUAAAACUUAAAUUUGGAUAUAAAUUAUGGUUUAAUCAUAGUUUUUAUAUAUACAAAACUUAAACUAACUAGUAAUUAAGAAGAAAAUACCAGAUCAACUAUGUAAUACACCAUUCAACUAGCUAGUAAUUAUUAAGAAGAAAAUACCAGAUCAAACUAUGUAAUACGCUCCAAUUAUUUUAGCACAUUUGUACCGAUUUAAGCUCAAUAUUGACAUGCCAUGCAAUAAGCCACUGUUUCACCAACCCUUGUGAAAUUAUCAAUUUAUUGACCAGAACCAUUAGGAAACUAUAAAUUUGUUUUACCAAUUCCAUCAGACUACUAGAAUUUUGUGUGACAUUGACAUGUAACCAACACGAACAGACUCGUAAGCAAUUACGUACAUAAUAGUUAUUCGUGUGUAUAAAUAAAAAUUAACAUUCAUGAUCAUUAUCGUAUUAAGCCCAGAUUCAACUAGGGAUCGGAGCUAGCAAGAGAGAAUAAGCAAUGACAGAAGUGAAUAACAAACAGGUGAUAUUGAGGAACUAUAUCACCGCCUUCCCGAAAGAUACAGACUUAUACGUGACCAGCUCUUCUGUCAGUACCAAGUUCAAGCUUCCUACUGACACUGCUACUGCUACUUCAAAUUCAAAGGUACUUGCAGUUAUAGUGAAGAACCUCUACCUCUCUUGCGACCCCUACCAGCGGCUUUACAUGAAAAAGAUCGCUGGACUCAGCACCUAUACACCCGGCUCAGUAAGCAGAUUUUCCUCUCUAUCUAUUCGAUCCACGAUGAUAAAUCUCAACGUUGUAGCUAGUCCGGCCAAAUCUCAUUCUUCUUGAACAUAAGCAUUAAAGCAUGUUACUCUAACACUACUAUUUGAGAUUUCAGGUGUAUAUGAACUUGUUGUUUACUUGAGUUUCUUUAAUUGGUGUUAUGCAUGGAAUUACAGCCAAUAUUUGGGUAUGGAGUGGCUGAAGUUUUGGACUCGCAGCACCCAGAUUUUAAGGCAGGUGACUUAGUUUGGGGGACUACCAAUUGGGAACAAUUCAGCCUUCUAACAACACCCAAAAACCUCAUCAAAAUCCAGCAUACUGAGACUGAUGUCCCUCUUUCAUAUUAUGCUGGAAUUCUCGGCAUUACUGGGUUGACCUCGUACGUAGGUUUUUACGAGGUUUGUUCACCCAAGGAAGGAGAACAUAUCUUCAUUUCAGCAGCAGCUGGUGCUGUUGGUCAGAUUGUUGGGCAACUCGCAAAAUUGUUGGGAUGUUAUGUUGUUGGAAGUGCCGGUACUAAGGAGAAGGCAAGUCUAAAAUUUCCUUCCUUGAGAUUUCUGGCGAGUAUCAUUAUUAAAUAUGCAACACCUUUCUGAUAUUUCGUUUUAGUACAACUUUAGCUGAAUGAGAAAAUAUAUACUCAAAAUCUUUGUAACAUAUGUGGAGCUAUUAGUUGAUUAUUUCCAAAAAAAAAAAAGGACUAUUAGUUGAUUAACUUUUCAUAUAUAGUUAUAUAUAUAUAUAUAUAUAUAUAUAUAUAUAUAUAGGCAAAUCAGAAGCAUCUCCUGAUGUCAAGCAAUAAGAAAUUGUUUAUUUGAUGCAUCCGUCCUCCUUAUUUCUAUUCCAUUCAUUAAUCAAUAUUUUUGCUACUGCACUCAUCUUCCUAAUUAACCAGGUUGAUCUGUUGAAGAAUAAAUUGGGGUUCGACGAGGCUUUCAACUACAAAGAAGAGAAUGACUUGGAUCUGGCUUUGAAAAGGUACUUCAUUUUUGGAAAACAAAAAGAAGCUAAUUAAAUACAGUAAAAAUCAACAUGCAUGUAUUUUGAUAUAUGGUAAAUUGCCAUGCAGGUACUUUCCAGAAGGCAUUGAUAUAUAUUUUGAUAAUGUUGGGGGCAAAAUGUUGGAUGCAGUCCUCCUAAACAUGAGAGUCCAUGGACGAAUUGCUGGUUGUGGAAUGAUCUCGCAAUACAAUCUUGCUCAGCCGGAAGGGGUAACAAAUUUGAUGCACCUCGUAGUCAAGCGUGUAAGCUACCAUGGAUUUACAGUCCGCGAUUACUAUCAUGUCUACCCCAAGUUCUUAGAUUUCAUUCUGCCUUACUUACGACAAGGAAAGAUCGUUUACGUGGAAGACAUGGUUAAAGGCCUCGAGGUUGCACCAGCAGCACUGUUCGGACUUUUUAAGGGUCACAACAUUGGAAAACAAGUAGUUGCAGUUGAUCAUGAAUGAUCAAUAUGCAGCAGCAAAUUAAAUGCAGAAGUGGUUAAACCCUAAACGCAUUAAGGAUCGACGCAGAGACAAAAUAAAAUCCCCUUGCAUAUGCAAGCGGUGCAACAAAGUACUACUUACUGCUUCAAUUGUUUGGAUGUGCUUCUUAUAAAUCCCACAUCGAGAAUAUAAAAUAUUGUCUGUGAAUUUAUAAGGGUUUGAGCCACUCCACUCAUUAUUGGUUUUAGAUAUAAAUCGCAGACUAUUUUAUCAAUGUUGUAGAGUUCCUUGCAAAUGGCAGCGGAUUGUGAGCAAAACAAACCAAGGCAUAGCAAACUGACGAGCAUAGAUUCAUAGUCACCAAACGGUCCAAAACCAUAUGCACACGCGUAAAGAAACAAAUUCCACAUUCAUGCCCUCAAAUGAUCAACGUCACACAGGGAAAUCAUGCAAGGAAUUAUUUUAAGGAUCAACCUCACUUCAAAAAACAUUUCUAGCUAAAAGCAACCUCACUCAAACUCCCAAAGCAAACUUCGUAGCUACAAGCUUCAAUAGCAAGUCGUUGAGAAUUUGAUAUCUGCAGAUGCUCGAGGAGAACGCUCUAUUAAAGCAAUUGUUUUACUCAGCGACUUGGGAGGUAGAGAACUUCUCGAGCUGCUCUUUCUAAAGCGAACCUUAAUUGUUUGCAGGCCUCUUCCAUAUUUGAGUACAAACUUUGCAAACACGAUUGCACUCUCGGGGAUCAUUAUACCGCCAAGGAAAAUUUGCACCUCCUUUAAGUGACUAAGAAAGGAGCUUAAAAUUUGACCCUGAGAUUCCCAGUAUUGUUCUUGGGUGAAAUUGGCAUCAUCCAAGGAUUGGUUGUUCCACAUAUCAUUUUUUUCCCACGUAUAAUUAAAGCCGUAAAACCAAAUCGAUAGGCUGUGGAUAACGGGACAGCUCUUGAACAGGCAUGCCAUGCCCGGGAUAUAUCUUUUCAUCGUCGAAAUCGGAAAUAUUGUCAAGGUUUUCAGCUUCAUAAAUGAGAAUGGUAGACCGCCUAAUUUAAAAUAUAUUCCUGAUAGAAUCUGGAGGUAGUUAUCAGAUAUUUCAAAGUUUUCAACUUGGGAUGAAGCGGAGAGAAGAUCCAGAACACUAUUAUAAUUGAUCUUCUUCAUUGUAAUGCAGGAUGACGGCAAACGAUGAUCUGUAUAAUAAGAUAUUUUGAGCAAAGGAAAGCUCUGGAUCAAACACCUUUCAGUUAUGCCUGAAAAAGCCCAACGAAAUGAUCGUAAAUUCGGUGCAAAAAUGUUGAUCCAACUUCCAUUAGUGCACUCUUUAAAACAUGACCAGAUUCCCAACUCCUCUAGUCUCGUUCCGGAGAUGUCCAGGCUAUUCAAAUCCAUAUUGAAUACCGUUAUUUUAGGUUUGGAGAACAAAUUUUGAGAUCACUCCUUCCUCUACAACUACAUAGUUCCAACUUUUCGAGGUAAGGGAAUGAAGAACCAGAAAAUAAAUCCACACCUAUAGCCGUACUUUCCGAAAAAUCCACACGAGUUAGAGACUAAGUAUGAAGUGAAUGGAGAUAAGACCCAACAACAUAAGAAGCAGGAAACCCUACCAUGCCUUUGAAUUCCCACAGCUACUACUAGUCCUUAAUGAGUGGCACAUAAGUUUACAUUGAGGCCUAUCAGACUUGGUUCCAGUACUCAACCGGAUGUGGAGUACAAGUUCCUCAACCCUAGACAAACAAGACUUGUUCGGAUCCACCCCAACUCUUGGAAGGGAAAGUUUGAGGCAUGGGUACAAUAUAUUGCAGUUUUCUUCACAGCGGGCUAAUACUGUGUUGAUGAUAUAGGAAGACCAUAGAUCAUUCCAUCGUCGAGAUAAGACAGUCGUUUGCCCAGCGGAUUUGAAAGGUAAGAAAGAAAGUAUGACAUGCAGUAUAUCAUCUGGGAGAUCACUGAUUCUGUCAACUGCAUAACCACUGUAUCUCUCAUGAUACUUGUUGUUUUCCUCGAUCCUUAUGAGUAAAACUUUUGGCAACGAUGUUUCCCAUGACAAGGUUUAAACUUACAAAAUUUAGCAACUGAUAGAGCAUGCACGUACACAUAGCUAAACGAUGUGUAUUCAUAUAUACCUAUGAUUAAUCCAAAUCCUUGACAAACUUUGAGAGCUUUAUCAAAUAAUUAAGCUAAAGACCAGGUAUUACAAGGAAUGGGAAUUGCAUACCCAUUAGGAUCGAUGAUGACCAAAACCAUCAAACCUAAUUCUAUACAAAAUCUAAAAGGGCUUGAUACAUGGUGAAUUCAUAUAUUAUAUAUGGAGGUUAAUUGAGGAGAGAGGGAAACAAGAACAUGAGAAGGUCUCGGCAGAACCCUACCCUAACAAAAGGCCUUUGAUCACUGAAGAUUAAGAAGGAUAUAGAUCAAGCACUUUUGAUUUGUGUCUGCAUCAAUCACUUAAAACUAAAAUGAAAUUAAAUCCCCCUGCCUCAACCGCUUAGAAUUUAGAAAAUAACACAAGAACUGCUAACGCACAUCGUGCAGAUGACAGCGGAUCGAUUGUGAACCAAACAAACUAAAGCAUACCAAACUGACUAACCUGACCAAAGCAUAGUCACCUGACCAAAGCAUUAUAGGCAGUGCAAGGAAUUUUCUUUAGGAUCAACCUCACUUAAAAUAAUUAAUAAAAUAAAUAUCUUCUCUUGCGCUGAGGAUCAUUGACAGGAAGAAUCAGCAAGUAUGAAUGUAUGAUGGGUUUCUUAAAGAGUUAAAGAGAAGGACAGCAAAAGAAUUGAUAGAUGGUGCUAACUAAGCUUCAAGUAGCAAUAAUGCUCGAUUUUAAAGGAUAUGUUUUUUUGAAACAGACAAAAUAAGUGCGCAUCCAGGGAAUCGAACCCUGGUCAGUACCGUGGGAGGGUACUAUGAUACCACUACACCAGAUGCGCUUCACGUUCAGUGUAACCACAGUUUAUGUAUUAUUACAGUACUGUGAAUCGUUAUUGAUACCAAAGUAAUAUUUUAGAUCCCCUUUUGAAUUUCAUACCUGAAUUCGUACCAUGUUUAGAUUCGUGAAUAUGACCCUCACAAUAUUAUGGUCGUCCUUGUCUACCGAAUGUUGGCCGGUAAGAGUGUCUUUGGCAACUAUGAACCUUUCAAAGGAAAAGUUGCCGCUUACUACAUGCCAUAAACACUUUGCUAUAUAUCUCCCUCGUAUACAAUAAACUUGUAUCGCACUCUCUCAAAGAUAGAAAGAUGUUUAUAAACAUGGUCAAAAUUAAGUAACCUCUUAAUUAACAAACUCUUAUCACAGAUUCACAGAAGCUUACUUUCUAGAUAAUAGUUAGUGAAUUUCCAAUGCGCCAUAUAGCUAGUAAUUAGGUGGCGCAUAGAGCAAGCUCAUGAGAGGAAAGGGAGAUAUUUCAAAUUUUAGUUAUAGUUUUUCUAGUUAAAUCCGUUUGAUGAGUUUUAAGCUAUUUGUGUGUUACAGGCUAAUCAGAAUGCAUGAUUCCUAUUCCUAGUGUAGUUAGGUUUCCUAUCCAGUUAAAUUAGGAUUAGUCAGUUUUCCUUUCCUAGUUUGAUUAUGUUUUUCUAGUCCUAGUGUGAUUAGGAUUUUUUUCCUGAACCAAACCAAGUUCUGUUAAUAAUGUUCUCUAUAAAUACCUUUGCUUGUAGAGAAUAAGUCCACACAAAAAGCAAAGACAAUUGAGUUGAUCUGUCUUAUUGAUUCAACUAAAAACUCGAUCUUCCUUAACUUUCAUUGAUCCAUGGCGAUAAUCUCAGAAUUCGAAGAAGAACAAACUGAAACCCAAACCAAAGUCGCACCACCCUCUGAGUCAUCAUCGUCGCUUAAGGCAGAGAAGAAAGAGGUCAAGUUGGAGGAUGACAAAGGGAAAGCUGGAGGGUCCAAACUAGUUCCAAACAAAGGGAAUGGCUUUGAUCUAGAGAAGUACUCAUGGACACAGAGCCUGCAAGAGGUUAACAUAAUGAUCCCAGUGCCUGCCGGAACUAAAUCAAGGGAUGUUUUGUACGAGGCAAAGGCGAAGCAUCUCAAGUUUGGACUCAAGGGUCAACCAGCUCCUAUUAUCGAUGGUGAUCUGUUUCAGUCUAUCAAGCCUGAUGAGUGCUUGUGGAGCAUAGAGGAUCAGAGUGCUGUCUCUAUUCUGUUGACAAAGCAAAACCAAACGGACUGGUGGAAGUCUUUGGUGAAAGGUGAUCCAGAGAUUGACACUCAAAAGGUUGAACCUGAGCCUAGUACACUGACCGACCUGGAUUCCGAGACGCGCCGCACUGUAGAGAAGAUGAUGUUUGAUCAAAGGCAGAAGCAGAUGGGGCGUCCGACUAGUGAUGAGAUGCAGCAGCAGGAGUUGAUGAAGAAGUUCAUGGAACAGCAUCCGAACAUGGACUUUUCAAAGGUUAAGAUGAUGAACUAAACAGUAAUUCGGCUCUAAUUAGAUCGAUAUGUUACCUCGUUAUUGAAUAAAUGUAGUGGUGGGAUUUCUUUCCUAGCCUAAUUUGUUUUUUUAACUGCUUUAGAGUAAUUUUGAGAGUUGAUGUUGUUCAUGCUUCUUAAGAAAUAAGAAUUUAGUUAUUUUCUUGACAAGAAUGACCAUCACGAUUUUGAGCCAUCAAUGCUCUCCUCCCUUCUGUGAAUUUCAAUUUUUACACUAUCAGCAAAACAGGCUUGUAGAAUCCAGAACAUGACAACAUUAAUAUUAUAGAAUCCUUACAGAAUCUUCUAAUACUACCUAAAAAGUUUCAGAUUAUAACAAACUUGGUGAGGGCGAUUCCCUUAAUACCCCAUUUACGAUUUUGCAAAUAAAAUUUCUCCUGUUGGCUGGUCUUGUCAAUCCAUGUGUGAAAAAAGUGUUGAAGCACCAGUAGUCCAACCAGUAACCUGAGUAAUAUUACAAUAUCUUUUAUUCAUCAGGAGGGCAUACAGUCGAAGAUAGGAGGCCCAACAAAAACGGGCAUUGGAGCAGCACAUCCAUCGAUCCUUAUUAUCCUCGUUUCCAAUACUGUCAAUUUACACAAAACCAAAGGGCACCAGAACGAAUGUUCGACAUUGAUCACGUUUCACAAAUUCAUUAGCUUAACUGACAUAUAAUAUUUUACAUACACGUUAACAUGUGUCUACCAGAAGAAAUUAUUUAGGCGAGAUGGGGAUUCGGAAUCUUCAAGAUCAUGAGAUGGAGAAUGUGCGUGUCUCCCUUCAUACGUUGUAAUCACCAUUCUCGGGUCCUCAGCUAAUCUCUCUACGCGUUUCUUUACUCGGCAGUUGUCCAUUGUGCAACGAUAAUAGCUCCUGCAUGCAUGAAUACAAGAGUUUUAGUAACCUUAUGCAUAUGAUAAGUCCUGCAAAACAACUGAAACAUUGUUGCAGGGUGCAGGGAAUUCAUAAGAGAUAUCAUCAGGGUUUCUUUCAUCGUUCAAACUUGAGGUAUAUAAAAGAUCACCUUGGCGAAUGUCAACAGUUCUUCUAUGGACUUAGAAUAGUAGGUCUGUUUGAAGAAAUAUAGAGAUUUCUUUGCGAAAGUAUCAUACAUGGGAAAUGAAGUCGUAUCUAAUUAUCCCAGCAUGUAGUGAUGUAGAAGAUGUGGGACAUACUUAACCUCUAACUUUCAACUCUAAAUAGGUUUCUGCUUUACUUUUGCACACAAUAUAUAGUUAGAAAUAAGAAUUAAGCACUGAAUUGCACAUGUUUUCUAAUGAUGCAGAUUGCCAACUAGCUAGCAUAUUUAAUUAUACUCAUCUCCUUCACUGUAAUUGACUGCACUGUACUUGACUUCACUGUUAUUACUGAAAAAUCUCUAACAAUCUACCUAGCUAGCAGAUAAAGGAGGAAAGUUUCAAUGUCAAGAGGAAGUACUUUCGAUUUUAUAGUUUGCACAGAGUUAUCUUUGUACAUCAUAUAUAUUGAAGCACUAAUUAUUGGAGAAAUGCGCCUAUGAAAUUCAACAAAUGAGGCCUGCAUGAGGGAUUAUGCUGUUGUGCUGGACAUAUAAAAACAAUAUGCAUAUUCAAAGCUCAAAUGAUUUCUGUGGAAUUUUUCUUCUGGCCUUGCUCAUGUGGUGGCAAAUUAUAGCAGGAAUUUCCAGUUCAGUAAUCAUUAUUCAAAAUGCAAAUGGCACAAUCUUCGUGUUAUAAAUACAUUGCACAGUUUUAACCUUUCUCUAAUUAUUCAAGACCCUGUUAAAGGUUUGAAGACGAUAUCAGAACCAGAAAUAUUACAUUUUCGAUCAUGGAGACGUGAUAAGGAACCCUAUAUGAAAACAUUUGAAACAGUUUUCCACUCAAAAAGGUCAAAAAAAAAAAAAAAUACAAAGAAACCAAAAUUUUCAGUUAAGUAAUAUCUAAGAUUUAAUGUCUGGCACAAGUCAAUAAGGGAGCAAAGGGAACUGCAAUGGAGAAGACAAAAUUGGCUCAACUGAUCAGUUCACUACUUAUAGUGUAGAUAUGUCACUUUCCUCAAGAUGCACAAAUUAAAUACAUCCACAAUAAGUUUCAAAUAGCUGUUUGUGUUGUUAUGUUUCAACUACUCCAAUCACAUAUAUAUAUGAUCAUAUGAAUUAAUUUUAUGUGUAGAGAGAAGUUCUUAGAAGUUUCCAUUAAUCCUUGCAUUUUUGCAUUAGGUACUUUCUACUUGUGUGUGUGUGUGUGUAUAUAUAUACUAACAUUAUACAGUAAUCACUAAUCACUCAUUGGGACAAAUAUAACUAUAGCCACACAUGUAGUGAAUAUUUUGUAUAUAAACCUGAAAUGAUCAAAUUCUAAUGGAAAGUACUUUUAGCAAAAACUACCGAAGAUCACCUUCAAAGCCAUUCAGAAAAGAAAAUCGAGCUAGCCAUGCAAGUCCUGUACGUAUGUACAGAUAUAUGGUCUCCAUGUAGUCUGAAUGUUCACAUAUCACAUUUUCUUACAUUAAUCUAAUUGUUGUUCUCAUGAAUAAACAUGGUCACAGUUUAAUGUCAUGAACCCUCCACAUUAGUAGAAACUAAUCUCAGAAUUAAUAUGACAUUAUUCAAUCUUUUUUGUCUUAAAAGCAGUGGAUUAAAGUUCUAUUCCAUUUAGUUAAAGCAUUAUCAUUGAUCAAUCUUUGCAAAAUAUACAUAGGCAAAGAUCUUUAUAAAUAGAACUUUACCUUUCAAGAGUACUAAUAAUUAGUUCUUUUUGGCAAUCAACGGCUCUACAAUGUAAUUAUAAGUGUAUCAGUUAUCUUUUUUUUUCUUUUGGUCGGAGUUUAUUGCUUUUAUCAAUAAUAUCGUAAAUUAUGCAGACACAUCUACCCGUCAAAUCUCCGGCACCAAAGCCUGUAAAAGCCUAAUGAUCAUAAUCAUAACAAUGUCAAUAAUGAGUGAGAGAGAGAGGAACAAACAUAUCAUGUGUGCAUGGGGUACAACCGGAGCUAAAAUCCAAUGUGCCAAUUGAACUUUUUCUUUGAAAUAUAACAGAUUCAUAAAAAUAAAAAAAAUAAAAAAAGGCAGAAAAAACUAAUGCACAGAAAUUUUAUAAAUCUAUAUGAACUGUGUACCUGGGAUGCUGUGUGUUCUUUACCACUUUCUGUCCGUACUUCCUCCACUUGUAUCCAUCAUCAAGCACAUCAACUUCGCUCAUUGUCUUGAAGCAAAACCUGGGUUCCCUCACUUUCCUCCGAAUAGCCUUUAUCUUCUUCAUCUUCAUCUCUGAAACCCCUAAUCCUACAUGAUGAUGAUCAUGAAUAUCGCUUGAUGAUCUCUUGCUGCUCAGGCAUUCACUCACCUGAUCUCCCCAUGCCCUAGAUGAAAACCAUCAUCAUCACCAUGAUCAAUAAUUAGUUAACAGUAUGCUUCUAUUCAAACAUGAAUGAUUAGUAUUGAUUGUACUGCAUGUAAGAUUUUACCAGAGAUUUGCACUUGAUCUUUGCAAAGAAAGGAGUUGGGAUCCUCCAAAAUCAGAAGUGAUAUGAGUUUCUCUAUGCUUUUGAGGAGUAUUGAGAGAUGGGAUUAGGGUUUCAGAAAGAUUGGUUGAAGAUGCAUGGUGAUCAUCAGAACCAAGUGAAGAAGGUAAGGAACUCAAGGCUUUGACAGAUUGUUGACAUCCCAACGAUGAAAAGGUCAAGUUAUUUGGUGGGUAGGAAAAGAAACCCAUCUGUAUAGGAGCCUGAUCUUGAUUCUGAUCAAACAAGCCCCGCUGGUUCAGCAUGGUCGACUGUGUCAUCUAUAUAUGACUCUCCUCGUCGAUCUUGAUCUCUUCUUCUAAUCUUCUUCUUCGAUCUUGAUCUUCUUCUUCUCUCUAUCAAUCUGUCUCUAUCUGAAGGGUGUAGAUCACGAAGAAGAAAGGGAAGUCUUGAACUAUCCAAGCAUAUCUAUAUACGCAGUGCUGUAGAUUAAAAGCACAUGAGAGUAUGAGACUACGGGUGUCUCUCUCAAACCUGAAGGAUAUAUAGAUAGAAAAAGGGAAUUUUAAAGAUUUGAAAGUAACCAAAUACCUUACCACUUUCGAUUGUUGCUUUUCCCUGCUUUCACAGUUCACACCAUUUCGUCUGUGUAAAAGUCGCUUCAAAAUUUAAAGAUGAAAUUUAGGAUCCACUGAUAAAAAAAAAUAAAAAAAACAGAAAAUAACAUAUUUCAGCAGAUGAAAAUGAAGAAAGGAAGAGAAGUGUGAUUUUAUUAUAGAACAGAUUAAGACAGAGACCUUCAAUCUUAUGAAGCUGGUGGUUUGGUUUUGGAGUAAUCUAUGUACAGUAGUGCAAGACAUGUUACCAUUUGACCUCAAAAGCAUGAAACAUCCAUAUUUCACAAGUGUGUUGGUGGAGCUUUACUGUUUUUGGUAGAGGUCAACAUUAGAUGACAAAUGUAAAUGAGAGCUACACAUCGCUGGGUUAUUGCACUCUCGUCGGUACAAAAGAUCUGACAGAAAUUUCAUCUUUAUAUCCUGUGUUUUGGAGUUGAUUUGGUUCUUUAUGGAUCACGUACUUUAAAUUUACUGCAGAUUUGUAAAAAUUUAGUACCUUCAUUAUCUAAACACUGUAAGAUUAUGAGGUCUGAUAAAACUGAUCUGACUUCGGCAUAAUAAGAUAAAAACUGACCUGAUGAGUUGCAUUGACAAUUUUGUGCAGCAAUUUUGUGUAUAUGACUCUACCGAGGACUAAAAUAUCAACAUCAAAGAAAUAUUGGUGAUUCAAAAAAAAAAAAUAUCGAUGAAUAUAUCAAGAAAAAUACUGAAUAUUAAUAAAAAAUUUAUCAAAAUUUUAUAUGAAAAUUAUAUAUUCGACUAAAAAUAGACAUAAUAUAAAAUAUCAAAAUUAUAUCAAAAUUAAUAUUGGUAUUUAUAAAAAACAGAAAUUUUAAAAAAUAUAAAAAAUAAUAGUUAGAUAUGAGGGCAGAAUAAUAGAAGUAAUACCUCUAAAAAAGUAAUGACUGUGCAUAUAAGUAACUGAAUUAUGAUUCACCGCGAAAGCUUUUCGAAAACAAAACAACAAAAACAAAAAGAGAAUAAGAGGGUCAUUUUCUAGGGUUUCUUUUGGGGCAUCAAAAAGAAAUACUAUUAGAGCUAUCUAGGGUGGCAAUGAUGAUGAAUCUUGGGUGCAAAUCUAACGCUCCCUGCAUCGGCGGUGAAGAUAUGAUUAUGGUUUGUGAAAUAGCUAGGCUCUCACUCUAUUUGACUUUUGGCAGAGAAAAAGCUUCUCACCUUUCUAAUCUCCUUUUUGCUAAUAUAAACUUUCAUUUUUUGCUUUGCUUCACCCAACCCCGCAUCUACCACCAUUUCUUUCCCAAAUUCCAAACCAACCUAUUAUAUUGCUAUCAUGUCUUCAGUUAUGUUUCUUAAUCGUUGUUUUGAUAUAAUUAACCUUUCUCCUAAGUGAGAAAUUCCUGUGGGCCCUUUAAACUAGAGUUAUGAGCAAUGGUAUCACUACUAUUGUUUCCUAGCUAUAAUUUAAGAAUAAUGUGGUGUUUGUACUUCAUUCGUUUGUUAACCUUAGAUAAGAUGAUUAAUUUGUAACUUCAUUUGGUGAAUACAAGUUCAUCAUGUUUAGCUCAUGCAUGGUCGGUAUCUUGGUUUGCGGAUGAUAAUCAUAAUGAAAUUGUAAAGAUAUAUUAUUGAUUACGAGUCUGUUGGUUCACCGUCUUACCCUAUAAGAUGCUCACAAACGAUAUGUGAUUCAAGUUAAACAGGGAGAUUAAACAACUAAUGCUUACAUUUUAGGAAUAUGUAAUGAUGUAUUAUGUAGCAUGCAAGAUACUAUUAUGGUUACAUAAUUACCCAUUUGAUAUAAUUAAGAACAUGACUUCAACUUAGAUCUUCAUAAUUAAAAUUGAGGAUAUUUUAUUUAUAAUUUCUUUUUCAUAUGUAAAUAAGUAUAUAUUUUUUUUACAAAAUACUGAAAAUAGAUAUUUUCAUUAAUUUAUCCAUCAGCAAGCGCUUAAUUCAAAUUGUCUACUUACAAGUUAUAACCACUCGUUGAGUUUACAACAAGAAAUAACAAAUAACGGAGAACCCUUAUUGUAAAUGCGCGCAAAUUAUACCUAACACAAAAGAUUUAAAACUACCAGCUCCUAUCUAAUCCCCAUAUAACGGUAAUACCAGUCGCAUGCGGACUUUAAUUGGUGUGCAACUAAGUAAAACCGAGACUUAAAACAAGAAUAGCCAUCAAUCAUAGGGGUAGGAAAAACAAAAAAAAAUCUAAGGUUUGCCUACGAAAAAAGACACUAAAUUGAGUCCAGCUGCCACCUAGAGUAGAUCUCAGGUACAUAAAUCCAGGCCCUUGCAGAAGAAGGAUUGAACCCAUACCCAAAACCAAAAACCUAGAUCCAAGUCCGACCCUUACCAACAAUUUGCCUAUUUCAUCAAUCAUCACCGUUUUCAGGCAACCACUAGCCUCCGACAAACAACUGGUACAACGAGUCUAUUGUGAGUCAAACUCACGAUCUCUUAUUUACAAAUAGAUCGAGACUUAUGCCACUAAACCAAAUGGUACUGAGCUUACGUAGAUGUAUUAUAAAACUGACCAACUAGCAAAAAAAAAACAAAAAAAUCAUUUACUUUUCUUUAUGUCUUAAACGAAUUGAAUUUUAUCUAUAAUUUAUUGCAGUACGUACACCAAAUUUGCUACAAUAUUUUUCAUUGUAUAGUAAGUAGUUAUCCAAAAUUAUCAUUACUUGAAAUACUCUUCCAAGAAACAUUUGGUAUCGCGUAACUUUUUCUUUUUUUUAGAGUUUGAUUAUCUUGGGUAGACAACCUAAUCAAGUUAGAUACUGUUAUAUAAUUCUCUCAGUUGGCAAGCCUCAGGGCCAGCUUCUUGAGCUCCGGCACAUAAUAACUUGUAUUCCACAUAGAGGUUUAAGCUAAAACUCGUAUGGUUGGUACUUGGUGAUAAAAGAAUUUUCUUGUACAUGCUUUCUUCCAAUUUUCAAGAAAAAGGGGAAGGAGAACUUGUGAAAGGGAAAGCAAGGAAAAGGAGGAGAGGAGCUUUAGUGAGACGUUUAGCUUAACUUGAAUUGGUGACGGCUGGCGUGGAGCUAACGUGCCUAUGAUGUCAGAAAUAUGAUACGAAUAAAUUAGCUAGGGAAUAAUAUCUACCAGUAAGUUCUGUAGCUGGAGAAGAAACUGAUACAUUCAUAAUUUCAUAUAGGGCAUCGAGUGGGGUGGCAAACAAACAUCAUUUCGUUUUGUCUCCGUUUGUAGGUGGUCAUUAUUCCACUGAGAUUACAUCCCUACUGUAUCUUGGUUAAAUAAUAAUUCCUAUGAAUGGCACUUCUUUCUCUUGCUGAUUUAGCUUUCCCUCUAAAGGAAAAGGGCAAAUGGAAAAUAUGAAAACGAAAAUAGGGACCCAUAGUAUCAUUCGGGCUCUGCUUGAAGACAUAUGCAUGAAUAAUCAUAAGAGAAUCACAGUUUAUAUAUAAUCUGUCCUCGCAGCCAAUGUUGAAAUAGUAAUUUGCUGUUAGAUCGAAACAAACCCAGAAAUAUUUCAUUAGUUGUAGUUAUGGACUUUCUGGUGGUGCCAUUUACACUAAUAAUGAUGAUAACUUAAGAAAGCAGAUCAAGUUACUUUAAUCUUAUACCUUGCAACCCAAAAGUAAAUAUAGAUGAUAUAUACAAAUAAUACAAUAUAGGUUAUAUGAAAUCUGAUGGGGGUUAUGAUUAAGAACACAGUGGAUAUCACUGAUCUAGCUUUUUCUCAUCCAUCAAUCUGCUCUCUUCAUAUCAUGUAUUCGCAGAACUGCAGAGGCAUCCCAUGCAAUCCAUUCUUGGUUAUUAAGUUGUCAUCAUUGAUAUAUAUGACAUCAUGUUAUUAUACCAGGACAGAAUGUUCAUGCAUACAUGCAUCUCCGUAAACAGUUACAUAGAUUUGUAUGGAGACAAUGCAUAUGAGGAAAGCAGCCUUUCUUUUCACGCCCAGCUGCUGCCUCUAGGCUCUCAGCUCUGGCCAGUCUUAGUCUCAGUUCAGACUGUUCUGGUAAAGGAGGAAGAAGAAGCAUGGGACUAACUAUAGGUACAGUCAUGAAAAUAUACAAGUACAUUCUGUUUUUACUGUACGUACGUAUAGUUAAUGGAAGACAUUCUUUCCCUUGGAAAAUGACUGUUCGAUAAAAAUUGAUGGUGGGGGGAAUUAGUGUCAGAAGCUAGCCAUGGCAAAGUGAUGAGCUGAGAGGUUUGAUCAGAAAUUCAGAAGCAGCUGACAUAUGCGUGCGUACCAACCUCAGAACCUCACCACAUUGUCGGUCUCUUUGUAAUAAUAAUUCUCCCACAGUCCCACUGGGGGCGUGAGAGCUUCUAUUGUAUCAAACCCUUUGGAGCCUUGCUGCUCCGGAAUAUCUGUACAGGAACCUUAGCUAUGUUUAUUAUAGCCCUUUAUUCCUACACAAGUACUCUGCUGACCAGAACAAAAAAAAUAAGAAUACCUAAAGAUUGAAGUUCAUCUCACAUAUGAGGAAAAAAGAAAUGUUAUGUUUGUAUAACAAAUAAGGAGUUCAGGAUCGAUCGGACCGGCCCUGCAUGUAGUUACGUACUAUGAGUUGUAUUUUAGGUUGAGAUACUAAGUCCUGGGAUUUGUGUUUGGUGCAUGUAUGUGUGUAAUGCGUGUAUUUCAUUAUUUCAUAGUUGGCUUUGACUUAGAAAAUAAAAUAAGAAAUUAACUUUGGAAGAAAGAAUAAUGCAAAUAGUUUCGUUGAGGAUGAUACAAGCAAAUUAAUAAUAUCGUUAAGGGUGUCUUUGGAUGGUGCUUAUGUGGGCUGUCUCGAAAGAAUGAAAUAUACUUGUAUAUAUGGGAAGGACAUUAGUCUAAUCUUGUGAACGCACGUACGUUGCUUCCCAGGUUUUUAUUCACAUAAUUUUGGACACGGGUGAAGCCGAGGGCGAGGCCUGAUAGUUAUGUUUCUCUCGUAGCUAGGAAUCCCUAGCUAGGAUGGUCUUUUUAGUUUUGUUUUCUUGGUUUUGGUGUGGUUUGUUUGUCGUCCUUUUUUUUGAGGGUGUUAGGGUAUUGGUUUGGGUCGGUGUUGUUAGUGGUUUUAGUAGGGCUAUGGUUGGUUACAUGUCCGGGACUAUAUAUUGGGGUUAACGUCGGUAUUUUCUUGUUGUCAAUAUAAUAGGGAGGUUGUCCAUGCAUAUAUAAUGGCGGUAUUGGUGUAUAGUAAUUGGUGAGGUUGUUUCUUCUUGAGGUUGGCUAUAAGAAGGUAUCGAGACUUUUGUAUGGGGUUAGGAGUAUGUUUCAUUUGAAUCAAUUUCGGUUCAUAUUCAUUGUAAUCGUAUGUGGGUAGGCAGGCCCGGACCUGAGAUUUUGAGGCCUGAGUCGAACUCUCAGAGUUGGGCCCUUAAUUUUUAUAUAUAUAUAUAUAUAUAAAUAGCAUAUAACAUCUAAAAAUAUAUAGGAUUUUAUGCAAAAUAUUUAUUAUGCAAAUAGAAUUCCAAAAUCUUGAUGGUUUAGUAAUCUUAAUUGUAUUAUAAAUCUUAUCUAUACAACAAAUAUCUUACUUGUUUGGCUGCUUCUAUUUAAUAUUUUAACUUUUUAUGGGUACAAAUUUAAAGUAGUAAUUAAUGGUUUGGCCCCUCAUCACGUGUAAUUGUCUUUGUUUUAGGAUAGUUGUCUUUAAUUCAUGUCAGAUUGCACAGCCAAAAGAUUAUUAAAAAAAAUAAAAUUUGGACAACUAUAAAAAAUAUUUUUGGGCCCCUUAGAUUUUUGGGCCCUGAGUCCCAAGCCUCUUGUGCCUCUAUUUAAAUCCGGGCCUGUGGGUAGGGAGGCGUGUGAUGACUUGUUAUCUACCACUGAGAUCUCAUAUGGUUGUAAUGGUUGGUUAUUAUAAUAUUAAGUUAUCUUUCUCAAAAAGAAAUCCGUAGGAUGGUGUACGUAUCAUUACAUUAUAUUGAAUGGUGCAUUUGAUGAUGUUGUAGUGUUGCCGGAAUGAUUUGGAAUGGCCAGGACCGAAUGGAAGUUAGAGAUCACGAGGGUUUCUACUCGUUAAGGAUUUCUAUAUCUAUCCGGUUUCGGGGAUAGGGUUUCUUAAGGGGCAUAGGUUGCUUAAUUUGAAUCAUCAAGCUGAGAGAGCAAGUGAGGUCUCGUAAAGUUCUUCAAAGAUUCUAGUAUUCUUGUUCUUGCAUUCUCCUUACAGGACCGAGCCGAAGUAAUGGCAUAGUUUACGGUGAUUUAAUGGAAUUUUCUUUAUCCCGUAGCCCUAGCUAGCUUGAUUUAUCAAGAAUAAUAUGGCAUACUUAUAGAGCACGCAGGGAUAUCGGAUAACUACCAUUCUUCAGGUGACCAUUUCCCACGAAGACCAAGACAUCGGUGCUCGCAGCUGCAGGAAUGUAGGGGAUGCACUGGAGGCCUCUGCUAACCGGUGUCCCAGCAGUUCCAAUACCUGGAACGACUCGCAGCAGUCAAACCUCUAGCAGAAAUGGAUAUCGAGGUCACAAGUCUUAACAAUGCUUGAGGUACCGAGGCUAAUUCUGAUUCCAUAACUAGGCAUGUCGGUUUGUUGAAGCCUGGCGGGAGAGAAGAAUCUUGAAGCCCACGGCGGAACGCAAACCACUGAGCUGCUUCUAAAAACCACGUCCUGUCCUCUAGUAUAUUCACAUCCUCAUCAUGACAUCCGGUAUCAGUAAAUAGUAAUAGUGUAAUACAUUGUUCUGUCUCGUAUCAAAUGGCUUUGACAGAUUGGAUAUUGUGUGCAACCUAUUUCUUGAAGACUGCCCUAUUCACGUCUUGUUUCUUAUUUUUCAUUUGCAGUCAUCCGUGUCUGACCCUACCCUGUCAAGUUCAAUUAAAUUCAAAUCACUUUUCAUCACAGUUCCUGAUAAUUUGACACCAUGAAUUCAAUCCAUGCUUCUUCUAGUAUAGUUUCUCACGACGGGAAAAGCAUGGCAUGCGUCCUGGAUCAAGUGUGUCCUUGGUCAAUGUUUGGCUCCAAGUACAUGUUUAAACAUGAGACUAAGGGUACUUUUGGUACCCGGUAUUACCUAAGUCAGUGUUAAAUAAGGAGUGAAACAAGAUUAAUCCCAUGUUUGGUCUCUCUCGGUACUAAUAUUAAUGGGCUUAACUAGGACCUGUUUUCUGAUUUCUCCUCCUUAGCCGGUGUUAGCGUGGGUACUCCGAUGAGAGGCCCUUAGCUAAGACCUCACUAACCUCUCUCAGUUCGCAUCGCCUCCUCCACAACUCUUCUCUCUUCUUCUUCACCUCCUCUCUGCAACACUCUUGUUUGCCCAAAUGGACCAACCACAAUAAAACUUGGCUCCAAGUACAUGUUUAAACAUGAGACUAAGGGUACUUUUGGUACCCGGUAUUACCUAAGCCAGUGUUAAAUAAGGAGCGAAACAAAAUUAAUCCCAUGUUUGGUCUUGUAAGAAGAAGAAGAAGCUCUUCCUUCUGAUGAGCCACCACCCUCCACUCAAACCGAUGAUCCUCCCGUUGAAGAAGAAGAAGAAGAAGCUCUUCCUUCUGAUGAGCCACCACCCUCCACUUAAACCGAUGAUCCUCCCGUUCCUGAUCCUCCAUUCGAUCCCAACCGAAGUAUCUAUCUCUCUCUCUCUCUCUCUCUCUCUCUCUCUCUCUCUCACAUUUACGGCUUUGACUGUGUUUUCGUUUCUGGGUUUGUUGAAAGAUGUGAAAUUUUUCACAAUUGAGAUAGGAUUUGGGGUCUGAUGUCUUGUGGGUGUAUAAGGACUUGACUUUCUAUAGGAGAUUUAUCACACUGAAAAUCUAAUGGUUAAAAAGAUAAAUGAGACUUGGGAUAGAUGAACCAUUGUAUCGUCUUCUUUCGAAUUUUGUCUUAGGCUCUAGCAUUCAUCAUAAUCUAAAUAGCAUUGUGGCUAAAGGUAAUGUCUAUGUGUGAUAGGAAGCAGAAGAUGGACAUCUUUUUGUUUACAUUAACCGAUUUUAAAUUUUAUAGCUACAUCUAUAUCAUCACUGUAAUUUGACUCUCAGAUAUAAUGGAGUUUGAUAUAAAGGAUGGAACACGCGGUAUGCAAACUGACUUGAAACUUUAGUCUUCAAACCCAAUUAAUGAUAUUUCCCAGUAACUACUUCAGAGAAGAUUUUGUGCGACUUAUAAUGAACAUUAUAAUGAACAGUUUUUCUGGCUUCAACUUAGGUUUUCAAUUCCACAGUUCUCUGGGAAUGGGAAUGGUCAUUUCCAUUAUUAGACCAGAGAUGAUUCUAUCAAUUUACUUCCUUUCAGUUCAAGCACCAUCUAAUCUAGCUACAAUGCAAUUCACCAACGAAAAAUAAAAUCAAAUUCAGGGGGGCACAUAUACGGUUUCAGAGAACGGAACUUCAACUCUGCAUUGCAAGCCACAGUUCAAAUUUGAUUUCAAACAUGGCCAGUUAUACAGGUUCACUUGCAUGGUUAUAAAAUCAUAUUCAGGCUCGCUUGCAUGCUAAAACCAAAAGUGGGCAAGACCAGUGGAAACUAGAACAAACUGAUAGCAGAGUAUCAGAUAGUGAGUACAAAUACAAAACUGCAUCAAUGCAGCAUCAAUCAUCACCACCAAAAUUACAAUCACAAAAACAAUUCAAAUCAUUGUGAAGCAUGAAAAGAUGCAAAUCAGGGUUGUAGAAAAAAAAAAGUACUCUCAAACAGAACUCGAAGGUGAUUUGAGAGAAAACAAGAAAAUGCAAAAGCAAUCUUCUAACAAAAGCAACUUGCAGAAGGUGAUACUAGACUGAAAAACAAGUGUAUGAACCUGAAUCUUUGUCUCAUACAAGCAUAAGUAAUCAGCCCCUAUUGUUCAUUCCCAUCAAGAGCAAGCUGGCUAGGGAGAAAAACAAAUGGAUGAAAUAUAGACAUAAGAGAAUGACCCGAUUUAGAAAUUGAUCGUGACCACCCAGAUAAACGGAAAAGAGAAAUUUAAUGCCAGAACUUGGUACCCAAGAAACACUUGAUCUCACAAACAACACGACCACCGUUUUAAUAAAUAUAUGGGAAAAGAAACCAAAAAGCAACAGACCAAUGUUGGGUUUGAUUUUCAGUCUGAUUCCCUGGGAUACUGGGACAUAAGCUUCCAACAGUGGAAUAUUGAAGAUCGCAUCCACGCAUAAUAUGCAUGUCCCUUAUUCAAGUAUCUAAGAAUGAAGCUGCUAAGCGCACAAAUCAUCAAAAGAAGCAAAUAGUUACUUCGAAACUAAACCCGCACCACAGGCAAGCUCACACAUCAUCAAAAGAGGUAAAAUAGUUCCUUAGAAACUAAAGCCACACCACAGGCUAGCUCACAGAUCAUCAAAAGAAGAACAUUAGUUCCUUAGAAAAUAAAGCCGCACCACAGGCUAGCUCACGAUUAAUACAACCACAAAAUAUGAUACACCUUAGUUUUACUGUUCAUUACGGUUAUUAGAUCAGUUGUGGGAGAUCUCAAUAAAAAAAUAUUACCUUUACUGUAAACUGCAGUCCACACUCAAAUAGCAGGUAUUAUUUCAGAAAUUAGUUAAUUCAUGCGAGAGAUCACCACCAAUACCAGCAAAAGCUUCACGACAUAACAAUGACCUAAGAAAGGAACAAACACUGGAGUACAGUACAAAGUACCAA
This 26508-nucleotide long non-coding RNA is filed under the name Fragaria vesca (wild strawberry). Its description in RNAcentral is "long non-coding RNA (FVES_LNC000234)". The record is from RNAcentral. Lineage: Eukaryota; Viridiplantae; Streptophyta; Magnoliopsida; Rosales; Rosaceae.